This 72-nucleotide transfer RNA is filed under the name Ictidomys tridecemlineatus (thirteen-lined ground squirrel). RNAcentral describes it as "Spermophilus tridecemlineatus (thirteen-lined ground squirrel) tRNA". It matches the Rfam family "tRNA". Rfam says of the family: Transfer RNA (tRNA) molecules are approximately 80 nucleotides in length. Their secondary structure includes four short double-helical elements and three loops (D, anti-codon, and T loops). Lineage: Eukaryota; Metazoa; Chordata; Mammalia; Rodentia; Sciuridae. The record is from Rfam by way of RNAcentral.
UGGGAUGUGGCUCAGUGGUAGAGUGCUUGCCUCACAUGUAUGAGGCACUGGGUUCGAUUCUCAGCACCACAU